This 722-nucleotide ribosomal RNA is filed under the name uncultured Fusobacterium sp. RNAcentral describes it as "bacterial SSU rRNA". It matches the Rfam family "Bacterial small subunit ribosomal RNA", at positions 28 to 776 of the family's 1533-position model. Lineage: Bacteria; Fusobacteriati; Fusobacteriota; Fusobacteriia; Fusobacteriales; Fusobacteriaceae. The record is from RNAcentral.
GAUGAACGCUGACAGAAUGCUUAACACAUGCAAGUCAACUUGAACUUCGGUUUGGGUGGCGGACGGGUGAGUAACGCGUAAAGAACUUGCCUCACAGAUAGGGACAACAUUUGGAAACGAAUGCUAAUACCUGAUAUUAUGAUUUUAGGGCAUCCUAGAAUUAUGAAAGCUAUAUGCACUGUGAGAGAGCUUUGCGUCCCAUUAGCUAGUUGGAGAGGUAACGGCUCACCAAGGCGAUGAUGGGUAGCCGGCCUGAGAGGGUGAUCGGCCACAAGGGGACUGAGACACGGCCCUUACUCCUACGGGAGGCAGCAGUGGGGAAUAUUGGACAAUGGACCAAGAGUCUGAUCCAGCAAUUCUGUGUGCACGAUGAAGUUUUUCGGAAUGUAAAGUGCUUUCAGUUGGGUAGAAAAAAAUGACGGUACCAACAGAAGAAGUGACGGCUAAAUACGUGCCAGCAGCCGCGGUAAUACGUAUGUCACAAGCGUUAUCCGGAUUUAUUGGGCGUAAAGCGCGUCUAGGUGGUUAUGUAAGUCUGAUGUGAAAAUGCAGGGCUCAACUCUGUAUUGCGUUGGAAACUGUGUAACUAGAGUACUGGAGAGGUAAGCGGAACUACAAGUGUAGAGGUGAAAUUCGUAGAUAUUUGUAGGAAUGCCGAUGGGGAAGCCAGCUUACUGGACAGAUACUGACGCUGAAGCGCGAAAGCGUGGGUAGCAAACAGG